UUGCUGAAUGUCUAUGGAGGGACGAAUGAAGCUGUCCUCCCGACCACCACAUGUAGGCUAGCCUACUUGCACACAUAUGCACACAAAGUGCAUAAAUGAAGUGCAUGUGUAACGGAGUAAAAAGAGUUGCUAGUUAAAUUAUAUUAAAAUUGAUGCAAUUACGCCAUCUAGAGGCAGGUUGAUUUAGUGUGACAGUGGGAUUCGCGUUGCAUUUACCCAGACUGGAGAUUACGAGAUACUGGGUAAGUCACGCAAUUUGGGAGGUCUGGGAUAAACAAUGUUUUCUUGUAAUUCUAAGUACAUAUGUCUCGUAUUUUGUCAUGUAAUGUACUUAUAAUGAUUUCAGUUAACUAUUUUGAGUUCAGUUGAUGAUUUAUGUGUCUUGUAAAGUCAUGUUUAAGAGACUUGCAACGAAGCAUAUUUUCAUGUGAACUAGCGUGCUAAUUGUCACUUGCUUUACAUGUUAUUUAGAUUGUUGUCCCGAGAUCUAUUUGCUGAACCCACAAUUCCACACUGUCAUACUUUGUUCCAGGCCUACGUGCAAUUCUGCAUCCCCCUCGGAAGGGCAACGUGAGUCGAGAAGGGGGAGUGGUGGACACCGAAACCGAAACACCACUAACCACUCGGGAAAGAAGCUGUCCGUGGCCCUGAGUGGUUUCCUGUUUGUCCGGGCUGCGAUGCAUCUGAAGCGCCGUGGAAACCGCUUACCAUUUCCAUUUCCACUGGUAAGAUCUAUAAACAAUCUGUAGCAGAUCAACCUAAUCAUUCAUCCGAGUGGUCAAAUAAUCAGGGAGGUCUGCCAAUUAGAAAUAAUUGUAUUUGUUCCAUUUCAUUCAAUAACUCUUUGGUUCA
Molecule: long non-coding RNA, 852 nt
Organism: Alosa sapidissima (American shad)
Lineage: Eukaryota; Metazoa; Chordata; Actinopteri; Clupeiformes; Clupeidae
Exons: 3
Source: RefSeq, a predicted model, not a curated record